Molecule: ribosomal RNA, 253 nt
Filed under: uncultured bacterium
Lineage: Bacteria
Description: partial 16S ribosomal RNA
Rfam family: Bacterial small subunit ribosomal RNA
Source: RNAcentral
UACGUAGGGUGCAAGCGUUGUCCGGAAUUAUUGGGCGUAAGGAGCUCGUAGGCGGUUUGUCGCGUCGGCUGUGAAAGCCCGGAGCUCAACUCCGGGUCUGCAGUCGAUACGGGCAGACUAGAGUGUGGUAGGGGAGACUGGAAUUCCUGGUGUAGCGGUGAAAUGCGCAGAUAUCAGGAGGAACACCGAUGGCGAAGGCAGGUCUCUGGGCCACUACUGACGCUGAGAAGCGAAAGCAUGGGGAGCGAACAGG